CACCUCUCAGGGUCACACCUGGAGAGUUUCCAGUAAUCUAGCAGCCUCAGCUACAGGAGGGAGAGUCAAGCAGAGGCAUACCCAUUCCAUUCCUAGCUUGGCCAGUGGCUAGCAAGUGGAAGGUAAACUGCUACAAAU
Small nucleolar RNA from Ornithorhynchus anatinus (platypus), 138 nucleotides. Lineage: Eukaryota; Metazoa; Chordata; Mammalia; Monotremata; Ornithorhynchidae. The record is from RefSeq and is a predicted model, not a curated record.